UAAUUAUCUAAGUACAAACUCAAUUCCAGA
This 30-nucleotide non-coding RNA is filed under the name Mus musculus (house mouse). Lineage: Eukaryota; Metazoa; Chordata; Mammalia; Rodentia; Muridae. The record is from RNAcentral.